GAUGAACGCUGGCGGCGUGCUUAAUACAUGCAAGUCGAACGGAAAGAUGCGGAUCUCGCUGCUCUGACGUUGGCAACGGGCGGGUGAGUCGCAGGUGGUUAGCCUACCUCUAUGAGUUAGGUAACUUCAAGAGACUCUAGCACUUACCGGGACCUAUCUUUAGCCGGAUUGUUGAAUAGUGAAGGAUGGGUUUGGUGUCAGCUAUAGAUCUAUCCGCGCCGCAUUAGCUAGUUGGUAAGGUAACGCCUUACCAAGGCAACGGUGCGUAGCCGGCCUGGGAGGGUGACCGGCCAGACUGGAUCUGCGACACGGUCCAGACUCCGACGGGAGGCAGAAGUAGGCAAUCUUCCGCAGUGGGCGAAAGCCUGACGGAGCCACGCCGCGUAAGUGAUGAAGGUCUUCGGAUCGUAAAACUCUGUUAUUAGGGAAGAACAAAUGUGUAAGUAACUAUGCACGUCUUGACGGUACCUAAACAGAAAGCCACGGCUAACUACGUG
This 497-nucleotide ribosomal RNA is filed under the name uncultured bacterium. Its description in RNAcentral is "partial 16S ribosomal RNA". It matches the Rfam family "Bacterial small subunit ribosomal RNA", at positions 28 to 507 of the family's 1533-position model. The record is from RNAcentral.